RNAcentral lists this long non-coding RNA (4804 nucleotides) under Citrus x clementina. RNAcentral describes it as "Citrus clementina (C. clementina) long non-coding RNA (CCLE_LNC006335)". The record is from RNAcentral. Lineage: Eukaryota; Viridiplantae; Streptophyta; Magnoliopsida; Sapindales; Rutaceae.
GGGGUUUUGGCACCACGACCUUCGGGCGCUUAUUUUUCGGUGCGGCUUUGCCCGCGGCUUAUUUUUGGUACCCCGAGGCCCCUCGCAAAGUCUCGCCCCAUUCCGAGCCCGGCGGACGAACUUCGCCCGCGCCCCCCACCAAGGCUAUAGCCCACCCGUUUUUUGGCCAUUUUUCCGCUGGGGGGUUUUGGAACUACGACCUUCGGGCGCUUAUUUUUGGGCGCGGCUUUGCCCGCGGCUUAUUUUUGGCACCCCAAGGCCCCUCGUAAAGUCUGCCCCAUUCCGAGCCCGGCGGACGAACUUCGCCCGCGCCCCCCACCAAGGCUAUAGCCCACCCGUUUUUUGGCCAUGUUUCCGCUGGGGGUUUUGGCACCACGACCUUUGGGCGCUUAUUUUUCGGCGCGGCUCUGCCCGCGGCUUAUUUUUGGCACCCCGAGGCCCCUCGCAAAGUCUCGCCCCAUUCCGAGUCCGGCGGACGAACUUCGCCCGCGCCGCCCACCAAGGCUAUAGCCCACCCGUUUUUUGGCCAUUUUUCCGCUGGGGGGUUUUGGAACUAGGACCUUCGGGCGCUUAUUUUUGGGCGCGGCUUUGCCCGCGGCUUAUUUUUCGCACUCCGAGGCCCCUCGCAAAGUCUUGCCCCAUUCCGAGUCCUGCGGACGAACUUCGCCCGCGCCCCCCACCAAGGCUAUAGCCCACCCGUUUUUUGGCCAUUUUUCAGCUGGGGGGUUUUGGCACCACGACCUUCGGGCUCCUAUUUUUGGGCGCGGCUUUGCCCGCGGCUUAUUUUUGGCACCCCGAGGUCCCUCGCAAAGUCUCGCCCCAUUCCGAGUCCGGCGGACGAACUUCGCCCGCGCCCCCCACCAAGGCUUUAGCCCACCCGUUUUUUGGCCAUUUUUCCGCUGGGGGGUUUUGGCACCACGACCUUCGGGUGCUUAUUUUUGGGCGCGGCUUUGCCCGCGGCUUAUUUUUGGCACCCCGAGGCCCCUCGCAAAGUCUCGCCCCAUUCCGAGUCCGGCGGACGAACUUCGCCCGCGCCCCCCACCAAGGCUAUAGCCCACCCGUUUUUUGGCCAUUUUUCCGCUGGGGGGUUUUGGAACUACGACCUUCGGGCGCUUAUUUUUGGGCGCGGCUUUGCCCGCGGCUUAUUUUUGGCACCCCGAGGCCCCUCGUAAAGUCCGCCCCAUGCCGAGUCCGGCGGACGAACUUCGCCAGCGCCCCCCACCAAGGCUAUAGCCCACCCGUUUUUUGGCCAUUUUUCCGCUGGGGGUUUUGGCACCACGACCUUCGGGCGCUUAUUUUUCGUGCGGCUUUGCCCGCGGCUUAUUUUGGUACCCGAGGCCCCUCGUAAGUCUCGCCCCAUUCCGAGUCCGGCGGACGAACUUCGCCCGCGCCCCCCACCAAGGCUAUAGCCCACGACCCGUUUUUUGGCCAUUUUUCCGCUGGGGGGUUUUGGCACCACGACCUUCGGGCGCUUAUUUUUGGGCGCGGCUUUGCCCGCGGCUUAUUUUUGGCACCCCGAGGCCCCUCGCAAAGUCUCGCCCCAUUCCGAGUCCGGCGGACGAACUUCGCCCGCGCCCCCCACCAAGGCUAUAGCCCACCCGUUUUUUGGCCAUUUUUCCGCUGGGGGGUUUUGGAACUACGACCUUCGGGCGCUUAUUUUUGGGCGCGGCUUUGCCCGCGGCUUAUUUUUGGCACCCCGAGGCCCCUCGUAAAGUCCGCCCCAUGCCGAGUCCGGCGGACGAACUUCGCCAGCGCCCCCCACCAAGGCUAUAGCCCACCCGUUUUUUGGCCAUUUUUCCGCUGGGGGUUUUGGCACCACGACCUUCGGGCGCUUAUUUUUCGGUGCGGCUUUGCCCGCGGCUUAUUUUUGGUACCCCGAGGCCCCUCGUAAAGUCUCGCCCCAUUCCGAGUCCGGCGGACGAACUUCGCCCGCGCCCCCCACCAAGGCUAUAGCCCACCCGUUUUUUGGCCAUUUUUCAGCUGGGGGGUUUUGGCACCACGACCUUCGGGCUCUUAUUUUUGGGCGCGGCUUUGUCCGCGGCUUAUUUUUAGCACCCCGAGGCCCCUCGCAAAGUCUCGCCCCAUUCCGAGUCCGGCGGACGAACUUCGCCCGCGCCACCCACCAACGCUAUAGCCCACCCGUUUUUUGGCCAUUUUUCCGCUGGGGGGUUUUGGCGCCACGACCUUCGGGCGCUUAUUUUUGGGCGCGGCUUUGCCCGCGGCUUAUUUUUGGCACCCCGAGCCCCCUCGUAAAGUCCGCCCCAUUCCGAGUCCGGCGGACGAACUUCGCCCGCGCCCCCCACCAAGGCUAUAGCCCACCCGUUUUUUGGCCAUUUUUCAGCUGGGGGGUUUUGGCACCACGACCUUCGGGCUCUUAUUUUUGGGCGCGGCUUUGCCCGCGGCUUAUUUUUGGCACCCCGAGGCCCCUCGCAAAGUCUCGCCCCAUUCCGAGUCCGGCGGACGAACUUCGCCCGCGCCACCCACCAUCGCUAUAGCCCACCCGUUUUUUGGCCAUUUUUCCGCUGGGGGGUUUUGGCACCACGACCUUCGGGCGCUUAUUUUUGGGCGCGGCUUUGCCCGCGGCUUAUUUUUGGCACCCCGAGCCCCCUCGUAAAGUCCGCCCCAUUCCGAGUCCGGCGGACGAACUUCGCCCGCACCCCCCACCAAGGCUGUAGCCCACCCGUUUUUUGGCCAUUUUUCCGCUGGGGGGUUUUGGAACUACGACCUUCGGGCGCUUAUUUUUGGGCGCGGCUUUGCCCGCGGCUUAUUUUUGGCACCCCGAGGCCCCUCGUAAAGUCCGCCCCAUGCCGAGUCCGGCGGACGAACUUCGCCAGCGCCCCCCACCAAGGCUAUAGCCCACCCGUUUUUUGGCCAUUUUUCCGCUGGGGGUUUUGGCACCACGACCUUCGGGCGCUUAUUUUUCGGUGCGGCUUUGCCCGCGGCUUAUUUUUGGUACCCCGAGGCCCCUCGUAAAGUCUCGCCCCAUUCCGAGUCCGGCGGACGAACUUCGCCCGCGCCCCCCACCAAGGCUAUAGCCCACCCGUUUUUGGCCAUUUCCGCUGGGGGGUUUUGGAACUACGACCUUCGGGCGCUUAUUUUUGGGCGCGGCUUUGCCCGCGGCUUAUUUUUGGCACCCCAAGGCCCCUCGUAAAGUCUGCCCCAUUCCGAGCCCGGCGGACGAACUUCGCACGCGCCCCCCACCAAGGCUAUAGCCCACCCGUUUUUUGGACAUGUUUCCGCUGGGGGUUUUGGCACCACGACCUUUGGGCGCUUAUUUUUCGGCGCGGCUCUGCCCGCGGCUUAUUUUUGGCACCCCCAGGCCCCUCGCAAAAUCUCGCCCCAUUCCGAGUCCGGCGGACGAACUUCGCCCGCGCCCCCCACCAAAGCUAUAGCCCCNNNNNNNNNNNNNNNNNNNNNNNNNNNNNNNNNNNNNNNNNNNNNNNNNNNNNNNNNNNNNNNNNNNNNNNNNNNNNNNNNNNNNNNNNNNNNNNNNNNNCCGGCUUUGCCCCGCCGGCUUUAUUUUUGGUACCCCCGAGCCCCCUCGCAAAGUCUCGCCCCCAUUCCGAGUCCGGCGGACGAACUUCGCCCGCGCCCGCCCCACCAAGGAUAUAGCCCACCCGUUUUUUGGCCAUUUUUCCGCUGGGGGGUUUUGGAACUAGGACCUUCGGGCGCUUAUUUUUAGGCGCGGCUUUGCCCGCGGCUUAUUUUUCGCACUCCGAGGCCCCUCGUAAAGUCCGCCCCAUUCCGAGUCCGGCGGACGAACUUCGCCCGCGCCCCCCACCAAGGCUAUAGCCCACCCGUUUUUUGGCCAUUUUUCCGCUGGGGGGUUUUGGAACUAGGACCUUCGGGCGCUUAUUUUUAGGCGCGGCUUUGCCCGCGGCUUAUUUUUCGCACUCCGAGGCCCCUCGUAAAGUCCGCCCCAUUCCGAGUCCGGCGGACGAACUUCGCCCGCGCCCCCCACCAAGGCUAUAGCCCACCCGUUUUUUGGCCAUUUUUCAGCUGGGGGGUUUUGGCACCACGACCUUCGGGCUCUUAUUUUUGGGCGCGGCUUUGCCCGCGGCUUAUUUUUGGCACCCCGAGGCCCCUCGCAAAGUCUCGCCCCAUUCCGAGUCCGGCGGACGAACUUCGCCCGCGCCACCCACCAACGCUAUAGCCCACCCGUUUUUUGGCCAUUUUUCCGCUGGGGGGUUUUGGCACCACGACCUUCGGGCGCUUAUUUUUGGGCGCGGCUUUGCCCGCGGCUUUGCCCGCGUCUUAUUUUUGGCACCCCGAGCCCCCUCGUAAAGUCCGCCCCAUUCCGAGUCCGGCGGACGAACUUCGCCCGCGCCCCCCACCAAGGCUAUAGCCCACCCGUUUUUUGGCCAUUUUUCAGCUGGGGGGUUUUGGCACCACGACCUUCGGGCUCUUAUUUUUGGGCGCGGCUUUGCCCGCGGCUUAUUUUUGGCACCCCGAGGCCCCUCGCAAAGUCUCGCCCCAUUCCGAGUCCGGCGGACGAACUUCGCCCGCGCCACCCACCAACGCUAUAGCCCACCCGUUUUUUGGCCAUUUUUCCGCUGGGGGGAUUUGGCACCACGACCUUCGGGCGCUUAUUUUUGGGCGCGGCUUUGCCCGCGGCUUAUUUUUGGCACCCCGAGCCCCCUCGUAAAGUCCGCCCCAUUCCGAGUCCGGCGGACGAACUUCGCCCGCGCCCCCCACCAAGGCUGUAGCCCACCCGUUUUUUGGCCAUUUUUCCGCUGGGGGGUUUUGGAACUACGACCUUCGGGCGCUUAUUUUUGGGCGCGGCUUUGCCCGCGGCUUAUUUUUG